This 231-nucleotide ribosomal RNA is filed under the name uncultured bacterium. RNAcentral's name for it is "partial 16S ribosomal RNA". It matches the Rfam family "Bacterial small subunit ribosomal RNA", at positions 99 to 334 of the family's 1533-position model. The record is from RNAcentral.
CGGACGGGUGAGUAAUGUAUGGGGAUCUGCCUGAUGGCGGGGGAUAACUACUGGAAACGGUAGCUAAUACCGCAUAACGUCGCAAGACCAAAGAGGGGACCUUCGGGCCUCUUGCCAUCAGAUGAACCCAUAUGGGAUUAGCUAGUAGGUAAGGUAACGGCUUACCUAGGCGACGAUCCCUAGCUGGUCUGAGAGGAUGAUCAGCCACACUGGGACUGAGACACGGCCCAG